AAGUGGAGCGCUGGAAGCCUUCCAUCCUUUCAUUUUGAAAAUUGUUCGUUAACCGACUCAAUAAUAGACCCGCAGAAUUUUGAUACACUGCCAGGAUCUACAAACAUUAUUGCAAAAGGACAGCGAUGGAAAAGCUAUUUUAAUGGUGUACCGUAAAACAGGAUAUUUAACAUCACGCCUUCGAAAUCUCUUGGUUCAAAAAAUAAUUAAAUGCAAACAAGACGAAGCCUUUGAAGAUAUUUCGAUUGGUGAAGUACUUCCUGAGUUCAGAAUUACAACAGAUGAAUUUAAAAGCUGGGCAAAAGAAAUCCACGAAGUUUUUCCUACUGAAUCCAUAGCAACGUAUUACAUCCCUUAUGCAAAAGUACAAGGACAGCGUAUCUGUGCAUCCGGAAAGCUCUGGGAACAUUUCCACUACACCAAAACUUUAUUGCAUAAGAGUGGCCUGUUACGCAAUAAGCGCAAAGAUAAAUACACCAAGCCGGAAGUAAACGUCGAAGAAACAUGCGA
Neodiprion fabricii is the source of this 510-nucleotide long non-coding RNA. RefSeq lists it as uncharacterized. NCBI's taxonomy places the organism in Eukaryota, Metazoa, Arthropoda, Insecta, Hymenoptera, Diprionidae. The record is from RefSeq and is a predicted model, not a curated record. The transcript has 3 exons.